CCUACGGGAGGCUGCAGUGAGGAAUAUUGGUCAAUGGCCGGAAGGCUGAACCAGCCAAGUCGCGUGAGGGACGACUGCCCUAUGGGUUGUAAACCUCUUUUAUAAGGGAAGAAUAAAUGCUACGUGUAGCAUGCUGCCUGUACCUUAUGAAUAAGCAUCGGCUAACUCCGUGCCAGCAGCCGCGGUAAUACGGAGGAUGCGAGCGUUAUCCGGAUUUAUUGGGUUUAAAGGGUGCGUAGGCGGGCUUUUACGUCAGCGGUAAAAAUUCGGGGCUCAACCCCGUCCGGCCGUUGAAACUGGGGGCCUGGAGUGGGCGAGAAGAAGGCGGAAUGCGUGGUGUAGCGGUGAAAUGCAUAGAUAUCACGCAGAACCCCGAUUGCGAAGGCAGCCUUCCGGCGCCCGACUGACGCUGAGGCACGAAAGUGCGGGGAUCGAACAGGAUUAGAUACCCUAGUAGUC
This 459-nucleotide ribosomal RNA is filed under the name uncultured bacterium. Its description in RNAcentral is "partial 16S ribosomal RNA". It matches the Rfam family "Bacterial small subunit ribosomal RNA", at positions 338 to 795 of the family's 1533-position model. The record is from RNAcentral.